RNAcentral lists this ribosomal RNA (855 nucleotides) under uncultured bacterium. RNAcentral's name for it is "bacterial SSU rRNA". It matches the Rfam family "Bacterial small subunit ribosomal RNA", at positions 671 to 1524 of the family's 1533-position model. The record is from RNAcentral.
AUGUGUAGCGGUGGAAUGCGUAGAUAUAUGGAAGAACACCAGUGGCGAAGGCGGCUUACUGGACUGUAACUGACGUUGAGGCUCGAAAGUGUGGGUAGCAAACAGGAUUAGAUACCCUGGUAGUCCACACCGUAAACGAUGAACACUAGGUGUUAGGAGGUUUCCGCCUCUUAGUGCCGAAGCUAACGCAUUAAGUGUUCCGCCUGGGGAGUACGACCGCAAGGUUGAAACUCAAAGGAAUUGACGGGGACCCGCACAAGCGGUGGAGCAUGUGGUUUAAUUCGAAGCAACGCGAAGAACCUUACCAGGUCUUGACAUCCUUUGAAGCUUUUAGAGAUAGAAGUGUUCUCUUCGGAGACAAAGUGACAGGUGGUGCAUGGUCGUCGUCAGCUCGUGUCGUGAGAUGUUGGGUUAAGUCCCGCAACGAGCGCAACCCUUAUUGUUAGUUGCCAGCAUUCAGAUGGGCACUCUAGCGAGACUGCCGGUGACAAACCGGAGGAAGGCGGGGACGACGUCAGAUCAUCAUGCCCCUUAUGACCUGGGCUACACACGUGCUACAAUGGCGUAUACAACGAGUUGCCAACCCGCGAGGGUGAGCUAAUCUCUUAAAGUACGUCUCAGUUCGGAUUGUAGUCUGCAACUCGACUACAUGAAGUCGGAAUCGCUAGUAAUCGCGGAUCAGCACGCCGCGGUGAAUACGUUCCCGGGUCUUGUACACACCGCCCGUCACACCAUGGGAGUUUGUAAUGCCCAAAGCCGGUGGCCUAACCUUUUAGGAAGGAGCCGUCUAAGGCAGGGCAGAUGACUGGGGUGAAGUCGUAACAAGGUAGCCGUAGGAGAACCUGCGGCUGGAUC